CCUACGGGGGGCAGCAGUGGGGAAUAUUGCUCAAUGGGGGAAACCCUGAUGCAGCAACGCCGCGUGAGGGAUGAAGUUUUUCGGAUUGUAAACCCCUUUUGUCAGAGAAGAUAAUGACGGUAUCUAACGAAUAAGCACCGGCUAACUCCGUGCCAGCAGCCGCGGUAAUACGGAGGGUGCAAGCGUUACUCGGAAUUACUGGGCGUAAAGGGCGCGUAGGCGGGAGAGCAAGUCAGAUGUGAAAUGCGAGGGCUUAACCAUCGGACUGCUGUUGAAACUGUUAGUCUGGAGUAUGGGAGAGGUAGGGGGAAUUCUUGGUGUAGGGGUAAAAGGCGUAGAGAUCAAGAGGAACACCAAUGGCGAAGGCGACCUGCUGGAACAUAACUGACGCUGAGGCGCGAAAGCGUGGGGAGCAAACAGGAUUAGAUACCCGAGUAGUC
This 440-nucleotide ribosomal RNA is filed under the name uncultured bacterium. RNAcentral's name for it is "partial 16S ribosomal RNA". It matches the Rfam family "Bacterial small subunit ribosomal RNA", at positions 338 to 795 of the family's 1533-position model. The record is from RNAcentral.